ACGGAAGGCAGCAGUGGGGAAUAUUGGACAAUGGGGGAAACCCUGAUCCAGCGACGCCGCGUGAGUGAAGAAGUAUUUCGGUAUGUAAAAGCUCUAUCAGCAAGGAAGAAAAUGACGGUACUUGACUAAGAAGCUCCGGCUAAAUACGUGCCAGCAGCCGCGGUAAUACGUAUGGAGCAAGCGUUAUCCGGAUUUACUGGGUGUAAAGGGAGCGUAGACGGCAAAGCAAGUCUGAAGUGAAAUCCCGGGGCUCAACCCCGGAACUGCUUUGGAAACUGUUUAGCUAGAGUGCAGGAGAGGUAAGCGGAAUUCCUAGUGUAGCGGUGAAAUGCGUAGAUAUUAGGAGGAACACCAGUGGCGAAGGCGGCUUACUGGACUGUAACUGACGUUGAGGCUCGAAAGCGUGGGGAGCAAACAGGAUUAGAUACCCUGGUA
This 435-nucleotide ribosomal RNA is filed under the name uncultured Lachnospiraceae bacterium. RNAcentral describes it as "partial 16S ribosomal RNA". It matches the Rfam family "Bacterial small subunit ribosomal RNA", at positions 341 to 792 of the family's 1533-position model. Lineage: Bacteria; Bacillati; Bacillota; Clostridia; Lachnospirales; Lachnospiraceae. The record is from RNAcentral.